Molecule: long non-coding RNA, 3603 nt
Organism: Homo sapiens (human)
Lineage: Eukaryota; Metazoa; Chordata; Mammalia; Primates; Hominidae
Gene: EDIL3-DT
Product: EDIL3 divergent transcript
Source: Ensembl
GAGGGAGGUAGGGAGAGAGACAAACACAGAGCUAGAGAAAUUGAAAGAGAAACAUUCUCGAAGGCAAAGAGUUGAAAGGUGAAUCUACUAAGAAAAGAAUAACAGAGUGCAAUUAGCCAUGGAACUACAUCUCCAUCUGCCUCCUUUAAAGGAUGAGUCCUUUAAAGAGCCUUUGGAAGGAAUUGGGCCAUGAGAAGAGCCCUCAUGAAUGGGAUUAGUUCCCUUAUAAGAAGAGACACCAAGGAAGUGAUCUUUCUCUGCCCUCUGCUAUGUGAAGACAAGGUAAGAAGACAGCUAUGAACCAAGAAGCAGGCCCUUACCAGACACCAAAUCUGCUGGUGCAUUGAUCUUGGACUUCUCAGCCUCCAGGACUGUGAGAAAUAAAUGUUUAUUGUUGAAGCCACCCAGUCUACAGUAAUUUGUUAUAGCAGCUGAAAUUGACUAAGACAAUUUAAAAAAAUUAAUCUCAUUGACUAUCAAUUUGGAUUCUGGAGCAUACCUGGAUUCAGGUAUACAUUGGAUUUGGGCAUAUCUGAACUGGAAUAUGGUCUCUAUCAUUCUAACUCCUUUAACUAAGUUAAAGUCUGUUAAGUGCCAAACCUCAGUAUUCUCAUCUGUAAAAUGAAGGUAGUGAUAGUAUCAAACUGAUAGUGGUAGGUUGUGGUGGUGCACAAAAGGGCCUAGUCCAGCACUGGACACAUGGUGAUGAUGAUGAAAGAUAAUGAUACUGAUAAAUAAGAAGACAAUACUAAUAUACAUAAUUCCAAAAGAAUUUUUCUUAAUACGUGAUCCUCUUCACUCCCCGUCUCCCAUCCCCAUUAAAUUACCUGGAAUUUUUUAGUCCAUCUUUCAGUUUGUCAAGCAACGAAUAACACUAAAGGUAGUCUUUUUUAUUAUCGUGUAAUUAUGGAAUUUUUUAUUAUUUUGCAUUUUAAAACUUUGUUUUGAAUUUCCAAAACUUUUUAUUUAAUAUCUAAAAUGUCUUUCUACUAAAAUUUUGCUCUCACCGUCUGAGACUCAAAGCAGAAAACCCAGCCAAGACCAUCUCAAAUUCUGACCUACAGAACUGGGAGUUAAUAAUUGGUGUUGUUUUAAACUGCUGAGUCUGUGGUAGUUUGCUAUGAAGACUAAUAUAGUUGGUUACUAUUGUUAUUCUAAUUUCAGGGAGAAGGAAUAAGUCAUGGAGCGGUUAGGUUAAUUGUCCAUCCUCUCAAGUUAGUAAGUGUUGGAGCCGAUAAGUGAAUCUAAACAGCGUGAAUCUAAAGCCCACUGCAUACUUCUGCCAACAAUUAUGAAGGGUCGACUGUAUGCUAAGCUCUAAUGCAUUUUUACAUAUAUUGCUUUACUAAAUAGGUUACCUCAACAACCUUUAUGAGGUAAAUAUUAUUAUUAUUUGCAUUUGACUACUGAGGAAACCAAGAAUCAAAACCUUUAAGUACAUUGCCCAGGAUCAAGGUGGCGGUGAGGAAUGGAGCCAAGAGCUAGUAUCAGAGCCCUGCUCUGGUUCCAGUAGUGAUUUUCACAGCCAUUGUGUUAAAAUGCCUAUUUAGACAGUGGUCUAACUUACUUUAUUUAUUGACAUUUUCAAUUUCAAUGGUUAUAAUUAUAAUUGUCAUUUUUUAGUACAGUUUGCAUUUCUCCCUGAUCUUCUUGAUGCAUCAUUUUAGAAUAUACAUUGCUGAAAUGUAGAAUUUCAAGCACAUUUUAAAUUCUCUACAAUAUUUGCAUAACUCAUAACACUUUUCUUCAUUGCUCCCACAAGCACCAAGAUAAUUCUUUCCUCCAACCCUCUGCUCAUGCUGUUAUCCCCACCUGAAAUGCCCUCUUACAAAUCCUACUAGCUGAAUUACAGUUUCCAUUUAAGACCUCCCCGAAUUAUUCUAGCACCAGAGAACCAUCAUUUCUUAGAAUUAACAGUGCUUUUAAUUUUUUUUCUAGUUGUUUCACUUGUGUUAAUCUUAUCUUUCCAAAGAAUUAUAUGGUUCUUACCAUUUAGAUAACUGCAUGUCUUAGACAUAGCUGAGUGUUAUGUUUUAAAUUUCUUCAGUCUUUCCACUGUGAACACUAAGGAAAAUUAAUUUUUAAGACUACAGAUUUGAUACCAAAUCCCUACUUCCUAAUAUUUCACUGCCUGAUUCCCUAAUGGAUGCUCUUUCCAGAAAAUGUGUAGGGUCAUUAAGCAAGAGUGUACCUUUGCUUUCAGAAUUUGACCCUGGUAGGAGAAAUUUCUGGUGCUUCUAAUUCUUUCCCUCCAGUUUCCCAGUCAAACUCAUUUCAGUGACUUGGUUUUUAGCUUCCUGAAAUAUGUUUGAAUAAUUAAUAUAUACACACAAUAAAAGUUCAAAGGUACAAAAGAGUGUGCAGGAAAAUAAAAGUUUUCCUCCUAAUGACAUUCCCUUCUUACACAAGGUUAUUCCCUCAGGGCCUACUGCUGAUAUCUAGUAGCUAUGCUUGUGUAUCCUUCUAAAGAUACACAAACACACCCCCCUAUAUAUGUGUGUUUAUAUGUACUUGUGCAUACAUGUGUGUAUAUAUAGUGUGUAUAUGUGUACACACAUACUUUUUACAAAAGUUACUAAAUUAUACAAUCAUGGAUCUUGCUUUUCUUCACAAACGUUCUGUGUUUUGAAAUUGUAUCAAGGACUGCAUAGUAUCUGUAUAUGUAAAUCCUUUUUGAUAGACAUUUAAGUUGCUUCCAAUCUUUUGCUAUUGCAAGCAAUAUUACAUGAAUACACAUUUUGCACAUGUGUGCAAGAUAAACAUAUUAGAAUAGAUUUGUUGAAGUAACAUUGUUGGUGGGGGGAAUGUUCAUAUAAAAUUGUGAUAGAUAUUACCAAUUUGCCAUUCAUAAGGUAUCUAUGAGUUCACCCUUCCACCUGUACUGUAUCAGACAGCUUGUCUCUCUUUAGUGUGGCUGAUAUGAUUCUUAACAGUCUUUGAAAGACAAAAAAAGGUAUCUCAUGGUUUUGAACACCUAUUAUUUUUACUGGGUUUGAGCAACUUUUCGCAUAUUUAAAAAUAAUUAUUUUCUUUAUGUGAACUGGCAUUUCAUGUAUUUUGCUUUUAUUUCUACUGAUUUGCUAACCUUUUUAUUGAUUGGUAGGAGAUCUGUAUAAGGAAAUUCAUCCAUUUGGGGUCACAUUAAUGUCAAAAAAUUUAUCCAGCUGGUUCUUGUCCUUUAACCUAGUUUACACCUAUUUGUUUGAUUUUAUUGUGCUAAAAUUGCUAAAAUAUUUUAUAUUUGGGUGAUGAAAUUUAUCCACCUUUGCUUUAAGAUUUCUAGGUUUUGAUAUUUGCUAAGAUAGGCUUUCAGUAUUCUGAAUUUAUAAACAUAUCUUACAGUGUCUUAUAGUAGUUUUAUGAAUAUUUCAUGUGUGUUUUUACAAUUCUUACCAAAUUAAAAUUUGAGAGAUAGUAUUUGUUACUAUCUUACUUGUUCUCUCAAAAACUACCAGUAAUAACAAAACCAUAUAUUGAAUAAAUCCAUAUAUUUCAAAUUAAUAUGACAUGCCAACUCACUCACUUAGUCACUAUAUAUUUGGCUCUACUGCUUGCUUUUAUAGACUGUUCCAUUGGGUUAUCUAUUCGUGUGCCAGUACUACA